This 465-nucleotide ribosomal RNA is filed under the name uncultured bacterium. RNAcentral's name for it is "bacterial SSU rRNA". It matches the Rfam family "Bacterial small subunit ribosomal RNA", at positions 338 to 795 of the family's 1533-position model. The record is from RNAcentral.
CCUACGGGAGGCAGCAGUGGGGAAUUUUGGACAAUGGGCGAAAGCCUGAUCCAGCAAUGCCGCGUGCAGGAUGAAGGCCCUCGGGUUGCAAACUGCUUUUGUACGGAACGAAAAGACUCUCUCUAAUAAAGAGGGUUGAUGACGGUACCGUAAGAAUAAGCACCGGCUAACUACGUGCCACCAGCCGCGGUAAUACGUAGGGUGCGAGCGUUAAUCGGAAUUACUGGGCGUAAAGCGUGCGCAGGCGGUUAUGUAAGACAGAGGUGAAAUCCCCGGGCUCAACCUGGGAGCGGCCUUUGUGACUGCAUGGCUAGAGUGCGGCAGAGGGGGAUGGAAUUUCGCGUGUAGCAGUGAAAUGCGUAGAUAUGCGGAGGAACACCGAUGGCGAAGGCAAUCCCCUGGGCCUGCACUGACGCUCAUGCACGAAAGCGUGGGGAGCAAACAGGAUUUGAUACCCCUGUAGUC